Molecule: ribosomal RNA, 238 nt
Filed under: uncultured Lactobacillus sp.
Lineage: Bacteria; Bacillati; Bacillota; Bacilli; Lactobacillales; Lactobacillaceae
Description: partial 16S ribosomal RNA
Rfam family: Bacterial small subunit ribosomal RNA
Source: RNAcentral
UAACCUGCCCAAGAGAUCGGGAUAACACCUGGAAACAGAUGCUAAUACCGGAUAACAACAGAUGAUGCCUAUCAACUGUUUAAAAGAUGGUUCUGCUAUCACUCUUGGAUGGACCUGCGGUGCAUUAGCUAGUUGGUAGGGUAACGGCCUACCAAGGCGAUGAUGCAUAGCCAGUUGAGAGACUGAUCGGCCACAUUGGGACUGAGACACGGCCCAAACUCCUACGGGAGGCAGCAGC